UGGGGAAUAUUGGACAAUGGGCGAAAGCCUGAUCCAGCCAUGCCGCGUGUGUGAAGAAGGCCUUUUGGUUGUAAAGCACUUUAAGUGGGGAGGAAAAGCUUAUGGUUAAUACCCAUAAGCCCUGACGUUACCCACAGAAUAAGCACCGGCUAACUCUGUGCCAGCAGCCGCGGUAAUACAGAGGGUGCAAGCGUUAAUCGGAAUUACUGGGCGUGAAGCGCGCGUAGGUGGUUAUUUAAGUCAGAUGUGAAAGCCCCGGGCUUAACCUGGGAACUGCAUCUGAUACUGGAUAACUAGAGUAGGUGAGAGGGGAGUAGAAUUCCAGGUGUAGCGGUGAAAUGCGUAGAGAUCUGGAGGAAUACCGAUGGCGAAGGCAGCUCCCUGGCAUCAUACUGACACUGAGGUGCGAAAGCGUGGGUAGCAAACAGGAUUAGAUACCCUGGUAGUCCACGCCGUAAACGAUGUCUACCAGUCGUUGGGUCUUUUAAAGACUUAGUGACGCAGUUAACGCAAUAAGUAGACCGCCUGGGGAGUACGGCCGCAAGGUUA
Molecule: ribosomal RNA, 549 nt
Filed under: uncultured bacterium
Lineage: Bacteria
Description: bacterial SSU rRNA
Rfam family: Bacterial small subunit ribosomal RNA
Source: RNAcentral